CAGCAGCCACGGGAAUACGUAGGGUGCAAGCGUUAAUCGGAAUUACUGGGCGUAAAGCGUGCGCAGGCGGUCUGUCAAGUCAGAUGUGAAAUCCCCGGGCUUAACCUGGGAACUGCAUUUGAAACUGGCAGGCUAGAGUCUUGUAGAGGGGGGUAGAAUUCCAGGUGUAGCGGUGAAAUGCGUAGAGAUCUGGAGGAAUACCGGUGGCGAAGGCGGCCCCCUGGACAAAGACUGACGCUCAGGUGCGAAAGCGUGGGGAGCAAACAGGAUUAGAUACCCCUGUAGUCCCUGUCUCUUAUAC
This 301-nucleotide ribosomal RNA is filed under the name uncultured bacterium. Its description in RNAcentral is "partial 16S ribosomal RNA". It matches the Rfam family "Bacterial small subunit ribosomal RNA", at positions 509 to 807 of the family's 1533-position model. The record is from RNAcentral.